ACAGAGCCCCCAGCGGGGAGGCCUCCCGGACGAGACGCGCCGUACCCGGACUGAAAAGACGACGCUCC
Molecule: non-coding RNA, 68 nt
Filed under: Streptosporangium subroseum
Lineage: Bacteria; Bacillati; Actinomycetota; Actinomycetes; Streptosporangiales; Streptosporangiaceae
Source: RNAcentral